UGGUCAUUAUUCUUUGCAUGAUUGUGGUUGCUGAGAAUCAAAGUUCAUUCCAAGCUAGUCUGUCCCAAGUUGACAUACUGAACUUGGGCGGUUUUAGAGAAAAAAAGAAAGAAGCUGGGAAAAUGCUGGAGGCAUUUCAGCUUUUAUUGAAUGAUAGACUAAUCACAUGCAAAUUUGUAUUUAAAAAAAAAUCACAAACUUGAGGACUCCUCAUAAUAAGAUUGCAGUCCUAUUCCUUUUGAAUGAUCCUGCAAGAUCUUUGAGUGCCAGAGUAUUCUAUUCCUUUGGCUUCUUUCCAGUCUUUGGAGCAAGAACUCCGUCAACAUUGGCAAUUUCCUGCAUGCCUCCGAGCUACCUCUGGGAGGCAAAGAUUCCAGAGCCAGGCAAGUCAGUAACUCUGGGCAAUCGUAUGGUUUACAUUCUGCAACAGCUGAGCUUCCAGCAUUCUCAUCCUCUGGGAGGAGGAGAAAGGCGGGGUCACCCACACUGUUUGCCUUGAUACCCACGCUCCUACACUCUGGUUUGGAAACUUGAAGCUGGCUGUGUCCACGCUCAGCCUACACUGUGCCACUCUCAGCAUUCCUCCUGCCUGGCUUCAUUCACUUCCCCGAUCUAUUUGUAUACCUGGGGGUCUUCCAUUGCUGAUAGGCUCUGGGAAGACAGGGGUGCCGUCUCCUUCUUAUCUCUCGAGCACCGAACACAGAAUUUUGCCCAUGGAAACUACUAGGAAGACAUCUGCUAAAUAGUAAUAAAUUUUUUUUUUUAAGUCGUGCAUUUUGGUCCUUUUGAUAAGUCCGUCUUCUCUUGACAAGUCUGGCUGCAUUAAAAUUCUUACCACUACUAUGGUGAUGUCUCACUUAAAUUUUAUGU
Canis lupus familiaris (dog) is the source of this 870-nucleotide long non-coding RNA. RefSeq lists it as uncharacterized. The record is from RefSeq and is a predicted model, not a curated record. NCBI's taxonomy places the organism in Eukaryota, Metazoa, Chordata, Mammalia, Carnivora, Canidae. The transcript has 3 exons.